AAAGACCAGUAAUGAAACACCAUUUCCAGUUGGACUUGACAUAUUUCCUGUGCCCAUAUGUUUUCAAAGUGGAGACAAGCACCUCCACCCAGCA
This is a long non-coding RNA of Octopus sinensis (East Asian common octopus), 94 nucleotides long. RefSeq lists it as uncharacterized. The record is from RefSeq and is a predicted model, not a curated record. The transcript is spliced from 3 exons. NCBI's taxonomy places the organism in Eukaryota, Metazoa, Mollusca, Cephalopoda, Octopoda, Octopodidae.